This 497-nucleotide ribosomal RNA is filed under the name uncultured bacterium. RNAcentral describes it as "partial 16S ribosomal RNA". It matches the Rfam family "Bacterial small subunit ribosomal RNA", at positions 28 to 507 of the family's 1533-position model. The record is from RNAcentral.
GAUGAACGCUGGCGGUGUGCCUAAUACAUGCAAGUCGAGCGAACAGACGAGGAGCUUGCUCUUCUGACGUUAGCGGCGGACGGGUGAGUAACACGUGGAUAACAUACCUCUAAGACUGGGAUAACUUCGGGAAACCGGAGCUAAUACCGGAUAAUAUAUUGAACCGCAUGGUUCAAUAGUGAAAGACGGUUUUGCUGUCACUUAUAGAUGGAUCCGCGCCGCAUUAGCUAGUUGGUAAGGUAACGGCUUACCAAGGCAACGAUGCGUAGCCGACCUGAGAGGGUGAUCGGCCACACUGGAACUGAGACACGGUCCAGACUCCUACGGGAGGCAGCAGUAGGGAAUCUUCCGCAAUGGGCGAAAGCCUGACGGAGCAACGCCGCGUGAGUGAUGAAGGUCUUCGGAUCGUAAAACUCUGUUAUUAGGGAAGAACAAAUGUGUAAGUAACUAUGCACGUCUUGACGGUACCUAAUCAGAAAGCCACGGCUAACUACGUG